UACAGAGGUCCCAAGCGUUGUUCGGAUUCACUGGGCGUAAAGGGUGCGCAGGUGGUCGGGUAAGUCUGAUGUGAAAUCCCGCAGCUCAACUGCGGAAUGGCAUUGGAUACUAUUUGGCUAGAGGGUUGGAGGGGGGACUGGAAUUCUCGGUGUAGCAGUGAAAUGCGUAGAUAUCGAGAGGAACACCAGUGGCGAAGGCGAGUCCCUGGACAACGACUGACACUGAGGCACGAAAGCUAGGGGAGCAAACAGG
This 253-nucleotide ribosomal RNA is filed under the name uncultured bacterium. RNAcentral describes it as "partial 16S ribosomal RNA". It matches the Rfam family "Bacterial small subunit ribosomal RNA", at positions 524 to 776 of the family's 1533-position model. The record is from RNAcentral.